AUUCCAGCUCCAAUAGCGUAUAUUAAAGUUGUUGCGGUUAAAAAGCUCGUAGUUGGAGUUCUGCCAGGUGGCGCUCGUCCGCCCAAGUGGUGUGUACAGGGCGUGCAUCUGGCCCUUUCAAGGGGAACGUGUCUGCACUUCAUUGUGUGGUGCGAGAUCCUUGACUUUUACUUUGAGGAAAUAAGAGUGUUCCAAGCAGGCUCUCGUCGUGCAUAGCUCAGCAUGGAAUAAUAGCAUUGGACUUCGUUUCUACGCUGUUGGUUGCAAGAAGCGAGAUAAUGAUGAAUAGGGACAGUUGGGGGUAUUUGUAUUCCAUAGUCAGAGGUGAAAUUCUUGGAUUUACGGAAGACAAACUAAUGCGAAAGCAUCUACCAAGGAUGUUUUCAUUG
RNAcentral lists this ribosomal RNA (389 nucleotides) under Syndiniales sp. Its description in RNAcentral is "partial small subunit ribosomal RNA". It matches the Rfam family "Eukaryotic small subunit ribosomal RNA", at positions 582 to 975 of the family's 1831-position model. Lineage: Eukaryota; Dinophyceae; Syndiniales. The record is from RNAcentral.